ACUCCUACGGGAGGCAGCAGUGGGGAAUAUUGCACAAUGGGCGCAAGCCUGAUGCAGCAACGCCGUGUGAGUGAAGAAGGUUUUCGGAUCGUAAAACUACUGUCCUAAGGGAAGAAAAAAUAGACGGUACCUUACGGAGGAAGCCCGGCCUAACUACGUGCCAGCAGCCGCGGUAAGUACGUAGGGGCGAAGCGUUAUCCGGAAUCACUGGGGCGUAAAGGGUAGCGUAGGCGGCUUAGCAAGCCAGGGGUGAAAGGACAUUGGCUCAACCAAUGUAAGCCUUUGGAACUGUUAAGCUUGAGUGCAGGAGAGGUAAGUGGAAUUCCUAGUGUAGAGGUGAAAUUCGUAGAUAUUAGGAGGAACACCAGUGGCGAAGGCGACUUACUGGACUGUAACUGACGCUGAUGCACGAAAGCGUGGGUAGCGAACAGGAUUAGAUACCCUGGUAGGUCAGUC
RNAcentral lists this ribosomal RNA (456 nucleotides) under uncultured bacterium. Its description in RNAcentral is "bacterial SSU rRNA". It matches the Rfam family "Bacterial small subunit ribosomal RNA", at positions 335 to 800 of the family's 1533-position model. The record is from RNAcentral.